GACGUAGGAGACAAACGUUAUCCGGAGUUACUGGGCGUAAAGGGCGUGUAGGUGGUUUAGUAAGUCUGGCGUGAAAUUUUUCGGCUUAACCGGGAAAGGUCGUCGGAUACUGCAAGACUAGAGGACGGUAGAGGCGUGUGGAAUUCCGGGUGUAGUGGUGAAAUGCGUAGAGAUCCGGAGGAACACCAGUGGCGAAGGCGACACGCUGGGCCGUACCUGACACUGAUGCGCGACAGCAUGGGGAGCAAACAGG
Molecule: ribosomal RNA, 253 nt
Filed under: uncultured bacterium
Lineage: Bacteria
Description: partial 16S ribosomal RNA
Rfam family: Bacterial small subunit ribosomal RNA
Source: RNAcentral